Molecule: long non-coding RNA, 4190 nt
Organism: Equus quagga
Lineage: Eukaryota; Metazoa; Chordata; Mammalia; Perissodactyla; Equidae
Exons: 4
Source: RefSeq, a predicted model, not a curated record
GGAGGGUCCUGCAGCCUGUGCGUCGUGUCGCUUCGGCGUCCUUUGCCCGUGGUGUGACCUGAAAGCGACGCGGGUGCACCCACAAGAUGGAGGAACCGCGGAUCACAAGGCAUAAUGGAAGCUUGUAGGCUCUUACUGCAUCCUGCACUGUUGGCUCACUCCUCACCCCUGAGCCGAUUUUAGAAGAGGUCCAGCUCGGCGGGCACUUGAACCUGGGCUCCAAGUGCAGGUUCUGCUAAUGGAAGUGUGGCUCCUGGCCCAGGUGGAAACAGAGACUUCGCAGUGGACUAAAAAGCCCCAGGAUCACAAUCACACGUGGAAGAGCACGCUGCUGAACUGAACCCUCUCCCUAGAAUUCAGCAUGGAAGCAGCAAAAUCCCUGAAAGGAACAUGUCCAAGAGUUCCUGGGCCAGAAUGUUCCUCUCCAGCUCCUCUCCAGUGUGAGCAAAGUCUGUGCAAUAACACCAUCUCCAGAGAUCGGUGAUUAUUGUGGCUCAGCAAAGUUUCAGUUCAACCUCCAGAUGGAAGAUAGAUCGCCUUCGUUCAAGGACCUGGCUGUGGACUUCACCCAGAACGAGUGGCAGCAGCUGGACCCGACUCAGAGGCUCCCGUACAGGGAUGUGAUGCUGGAGGACUACAGGCAGCUGCCAAGAGCUUGCGUCUGCUCUGUGUCUCAAACACAUGUUGCAUUUAAUUAUUUAACCUUGAGUGUCAGGGGAGGAAGAUGAUUUAGGCAGUGGAUGUGUGUGUGUGUGUACACUCACUGCCCCCCCACCCCCACCCUGUAGUUCCUGUCACUGUUCUAGCUUUACUGACCUGUUGCUGGGCAUCUUCAUCACGCAGCUUCUAAAGCUGUACUUUCUUUGUGCUUCAGCGUCCCUGACGUCCAUAGAGCUUGGUCCAAGUUCUGCAUCACUUCCCAUUAACAGGGCAUCACAUUAGCAAACCAGAUGUGAUCUUCAGAUUGGAGCAAGGAGAAGAACCAUGGAUAGUGGAGGAGUUCUCAAGGCGGAACCACUCAGGAAAAAUAUGCUACAAAUAUGAUCCACCUGGAAACAGUUUGAAAACUCAUUCAGAAGUAAGUCUUGCAAAGGAAAGCUAUUUUUAAAAGGUUCCUGAUGAAUACAGUGGAGGUGGGAAACACUACUCUACUCUAAGGAUGAGAAAAGUCAUUCUGGAGUGAAAAAAUACAAGGAUAAUCCAAUGAGGAAAGCCAGAAGUCAAAAUGAGGAUCUUAUGCUGUACCAGAACAUUCAGACUUUGAAACAACCUCUUGACUAUAGUAAAUGUGGGAAAACCUUCUUCAAAAGGGUAGUCCUCAUUACACAGAAGAGGAAGCCAAAUGAAUGUAAUGAGUGUAGGAAAACCUUUUCUAAGAAGUUCACCCUCAUUGUACAUCAGAGAAUUCAUACAGGGGAGAAACCCUACGUAUGUAAUGAUUGUAGGAAAACCUUCUGUGUGAAGACAAACUUCACUUGACACCAAAGAAUUCACGCUGGAGAGAGACCCUAUGAAUGCAGUGAAUGAGGGAAAACCUUCACUGUCAGAUCAGCCCUCAUUGUACUUCAGAAUAUUCACAGAGGGGAGAAAUCCUGUGAGUGUAAUGAACGUGGAAAGACUUUCUUUCAGAAGUCAGCCCUCACUGAACAUUUCAGGUCACGCCCAGGGGAGAAACCUUAGGAAUGCAAGGAAUGUAGGAAUGCCUCCAGCAAGAAAUCUUACCUUGCUGUUCAUCAGAGAACUCACAGAGGAGAAACCAAAUGAAUGUCAGGAAUGUGGGAAAACCUUCUUCUGUCAGUCAGCCCUCAGUGUGCAUCGGAGAACUCAUACAGGAGAGAAACCCUAUGAAUGCAGUGAGUGUGAAAAUUUUUUAUGUACUAAACCAGCCCUCAUUGCACAUCAGAUAACUCACAGAGGAUAGAAAUCUUAUGUGUGUGGUGAAUGUGGGAAAUUUUUCUGCCAUAAGUCAACACUCAUUGUACAUCAAAGAACUCACACAGGACCCAAACACCAUGUGUUUAAGAAAUGUGGUAGACCAUUCUUUGUAAGGUCAAACCACAAUGAAUGUGAGAGAAUGCACACAAAGAAUCUUUAUGUGUGUAGUGAAUGUGGGCACGCCAACAGCAAAAACACACACCUUGUUGAACAUCAGAGAACUAUGUGGGAGAAACCAUAUGAAUGUAACGAAUGUGGGAGAACCUAUUGCCGGAAGUCAGCCCUCACUCACCACCAGAGAACGCACACAGGAAAGAGACCCUAUGAGUGCGGUGAAUGUGGGAAAACCUUCUGCCAGAAAUUCUCCUUCAUCGAACAUCAGUGAACUCACACUGGGGAGAAACCGUAUGAAUGUAAUGAAUGUGGGAAAUCCUCCUGCCACAAGUCAGCCUUCCGAGUACACUGGAGAAUUCCCACAGGAGAGAAACCCUAUGAAAGUAGAGAAUGUGGGAAAACCUAUCGUCGGCUGUGGACUCUCACUGAACAUCAGAAAAUACACACAGGGCAGAAACCCUAUGAAUGUAACAAAUGCAAGAAAACAUUUCACCACAAAUCAAACUUCCUUUUACAUCAGAAAACUCAUAAGGAGUGACUUCCAAGAAAGCAGCAAUUCAAAUAAUUUACACAAUUACACAAGUAAUUUACACAAUAAUUUCAUAGGCUAAAAUCCUAUGAAUAUGCACAGAGGAGUGAAAUCUUAUAAAUGUAAUUAAUGUGAGAAAUAUUCCUGCCAUAAAUUGACCCUCACCAUAACGUCAGAGAACUCACACAGGAGAGAAAUAUAGUGUGUUUAGUAAAUGUGGUAUAACAUUCAGUGUGAGCUGUGAAAAUAUUCAACAAUUCAUUCAUGUCAAGUGUGCCUCCCUUUUAAAAUAAUGGAACAAACAUUAUUUAAGUGAAAUUGAUUGAUUCCUCUCCACGUUGUUACUUGAGAGUCUGUGUUACCAGGUGUGAGGAUCUAACCUUAUUUCAUUCCAAAUCAACACCAGUUGUUCCUACAAUAAUUAGUAAUUUACAAUUUCCCAAUUAAUAGUGUUUGAAACUCUCAGGCUAGACAGGUUGGUUUUUUCUUUUAACUCUGUCUUCAUAGUCUUCUAGUAACAGCCUCCAGUCCUUGUGUCUGUGGAGGUGGCAGUUAAGAGGACCACCUAUGGACUCCAUCCUCCUGGUCCCACAGUGGUAUUCCACAGAUGAGCAUUCGAUAAAGUGAAGCUAGUGAAAGCCCUUCCUAAGACCUUUGUGUUGGGAGAUGGACAGGAUAGCUAAUAUGGGAUGCUGAAGCUUCCAGCAGCCAGGUCAAGAAAACAGCAAUUGCAAUAGGAAAAAAAAUGCAGAGAAGCAAUGAGAAUUCUGACGGUGUUUGAAUCCAGGACCGUGUUUGUCUCCUUGGUAUUCAUGUUCCCUCACUUCCACUCACCCGUGUUCUACCAGUGGUUUGAUUGUGUCAACUAAUAAGUCUGCAAAUUUUUUUGUAUUUUCUAAUAAACAUGUUCAUAGAAGUGUUCUUUAGAAUUCACUUAUCAAAUUCUGAGGAAAAAAGCCUCUGUAAUACAAAUCAGAAUUACAUUAUAGGUGUGUAUGUGGUUAGGCAGGAUUGCCUUCCAGAUCCUGAUUUCCAUGACUGAGAUUUUUUUCCCCUAAACUCAUUCCCAGCCUCUCUGUCACAUUAAGCAUUCUGCCCCAGGAAGAUGAGGUGGGCUUAUGUAAUUGGUAAAAUUGGCAUAGAUAUACAUAUGUAUGUAUGUGUGAGUGUGUAUGUCUUAUACAUGUGAAUACACACGUGUAUGAAUGUAUAUGUGUGUGAGUGUAUACCAGUCUUGCUCUUUUUCCUGGGAAACUUGUUUAUAGCCACUUCAAAGGUUUGGUUGCUAUUGUGAAUGAUAUUUUAUCAUCUUUCACUUUAAAAUUGGACUCUUUAUUGAUGGAAUUAAAAAAAUAAUUUUUGUAUCAAAUUUGUCUCCAUUUAUCCCUCAGCUUUACUACUUUUUUGCUUGUUCUUGUAAAAUUCAUCGUUUAUUAUAAGUGAAACUGGUGGACUGCUUUUUUCCUCCACUCCUUCUGUGUGCUAAAGGUCUGCCCAGCAGCUCUCUGUCCCCUGUGCCUUCUGCUUGCCUGCUUGCUUUGGAUUAUGUGGCAAAACAGGAUUCUGCCUGUUACUGUAUUGUUUUUAUUUAUUGUUUUUGUGUAAUAUUAUA